AUUGAACGCUGGCGGCAGGCCUAACACAUGCAAGUCGAGCGGAUGAAGGGAGCUUGCUCCUGGAUUCAGCGGCGGACGGGUGAGUAAUGCCUAGGAAUCUGCCUGGUAGUGGGGGAUAACGUCCGGAAACGGGCGCUAAUACCGCAUACGUCCUGAGGGAGAAAGUGGGGGAUCUUCGGACCUCACGCUAUCAGAUGAGCCUAGGUCGGAUUAGCUAGUUGGUGGGGUAAAGGCCUACCAAGGCGACGAUCCGUAACUGGUCUGAGAGGAUGAUCAGUCACACUGGAACUGAGACACGGUCCAGACUCCUACGGGAGGCAGCAGUGGGGAAUAUUGGACAAAGGGCGAAAGCCUGAUCCAGCCACGCCGCGUGUGUGAUGAAGGUCUUCGGAUUGUAAAGCACUUUAAGUUGGGAGGAAGGGCAGUAAGUUAAUACCUUGCUGUUUUGACGUUACCAACAGAAUAAGCACCGGCUAACUUCGUG
This 484-nucleotide ribosomal RNA is filed under the name uncultured bacterium. Its description in RNAcentral is "partial 16S ribosomal RNA". It matches the Rfam family "Bacterial small subunit ribosomal RNA", at positions 30 to 507 of the family's 1533-position model. The record is from RNAcentral.